Long non-coding RNA from Onychomys torridus (southern grasshopper mouse), 1505 nucleotides. RefSeq lists it as uncharacterized. The record is from RefSeq and is a predicted model, not a curated record. The transcript has 2 exons. Lineage: Eukaryota; Metazoa; Chordata; Mammalia; Rodentia; Cricetidae.
GUGGCCGGCAAGCUGAUAAGCGCCGCCGGGUGAUACGGGAGUUGUCGCCUUAGACUGCAGGUCACCACCUCCUGGCUGGAGCCGGAGCUGCGUCACGUCUGGGGUUCGCUUACAGCCCAACCAAGUGGGUGUCUGUCAAGGACUGAUCUUCUGAAACAGCUGACAUCACUUUAUUCUUGCCCACAUGGACUAUAUCUUCUCUAUGGUAGCCUCAGUUGCUGGUCUUUUGGAGGAUCAACUUUCUUUAAUUCAUGAGGAAAAUCACUGGUUGAAGUCAUAUGCUACUGAAGUUCCUUAAGGGUGUGUGUGGGGGCGUUUAAAAAAAAUCUGGGAAGUUUCUAGACUUGAAGGUGGAGAAAGGAAACUAUUAGUUAAAGAGUGUGUGCUUCCAAUAAAGCCAGAAAGGUCAUAAUACAAACUCUUCCCUAGUAAGUCCACAAAGGGCUCCAGGCAUCUUGAUAACUGGACUUUUGCCUAGAGUGAUUAAUACUGGACUUAUAAUAAUCAGAACUAUAAAGUAAUAAAUUUGUGUUGCUUUGAUCCAUGGCCAUUUGCAAUAUCAGUAGCAGAAAAUUCCUUGUCUUCAUUGAGCUUAGGCUAUGCUAUAUGCUAAGUUUUUCUACCUUCUAUAAAACAAUGACUUUUCAGACUGUGCCUUGCCCCAAGGGACUCCACUUUACAGGCAGCAUUGAACUCCAUUUUGACGUUGAAGGAUGAUUGUACAUCAGGGUUGUUGCGGAAACAACACAAUCAAUCCAGCACCAUCCACAUAUCAUCGGCUGAUAAAUGACUUGUUCUUGUAAGUAGAAAGGGUGCCACCCUAUAAAUUUCUCAUAUUGAACUGAGAUUGUAGGGGCAUAUGGGCAUAUUACAAUCAUAUCAGAGAUACCAGGCCCCAAAACUUAUCUGACAUGCUGGACCAAGGAAAGGGUGUAACUUCUUCAUCUGGGCUCCAUAAACUGGUGAACAACUAGCAAGGUUAUCAAUGGCCUCACACCCAUCUGAUACCAGGUAAGUGUGUGUCAGGGACUAAUAGAACUCUUAAUUAUGCUGAUGUUUCAGCUCAGCUCUGUCCCUCUUUUGACAGACUAGAAGUCUGUCUGCGGCUUAUCUGCUCACCCAUUUGGACCUGGACCUACAGUUCCUGCUCUGAACCCAGUUCUGCCCUUCUGUCUCUGCAGCACGCUCCUUCCUCCAGCAGAUUUGGGUUCAUUAUCUUAUCAAUACAGAAAAUGUACCCAUCCCUCUCGAAUUCUGUUGCAACUUCUUUAGCUUGUAUUCAUUGUGUAACUCACAUUAAUUAAUUCCUACCCAUCCAUAUAUCUAUAUUUCCUGAGUGGUAUGUGUUAUAAGAGUUAAUAUUACUAAUUAAGAUUAGCAUAAAAGCAGCUUCAUUGACCCUGGUCAGAUUAUCAAGGUAGGUAGGACCUUUGGAAAAAGUGCUUCCAUUAAAACCACUACACCUUGUGAACAUAUUGUUAUUCAAUAAAUUCUGACGUUGUUUA